This 111-nucleotide ribosomal RNA is filed under the name Neotoma lepida (desert woodrat). Lineage: Eukaryota; Metazoa; Chordata; Mammalia; Rodentia; Cricetidae. The record is from RNAcentral.
GUCUACAGCCAUACUACCCUGAAUANGCCCAAUUUUGUCUGCUCUCAGAAGCUAAGCAGGGUUGGGCCUGAUUAGUACUUGGAUGGGAGAAAGGUGCAGGCAAUGGAGGCA